UACGAAGGGGGCUAGCGUUGCUCGGAAUCACUGGGCGUAAAGGGUGCGUAGGCGGGUCUUUAAGUCAGGGGUGAAAUCCUGGAGCUCAACUCCAGAACUGCCUUUGAUACUGAAGAUCUUGAGUUCGGGAGAGGUGAGUGGAAUUCCGAGUGUAGAGGUGAAAUUCGUAGAUAUUCGGAAGAACACCAGUGGCGAAGGCGGCUCACUGGCCCAUUACUGACGCUGAGGCACGAAAGCGUGGGGAGCAAACAGG
This 253-nucleotide ribosomal RNA is filed under the name uncultured bacterium. Its description in RNAcentral is "partial 16S ribosomal RNA". It matches the Rfam family "Bacterial small subunit ribosomal RNA", at positions 524 to 776 of the family's 1533-position model. The record is from RNAcentral.